This 494-nucleotide ribosomal RNA is filed under the name uncultured bacterium. Its description in RNAcentral is "bacterial SSU rRNA". It matches the Rfam family "Bacterial small subunit ribosomal RNA", at positions 34 to 518 of the family's 1533-position model. The record is from RNAcentral.
CGCUGGCGGCGCGUUUAAGCAUGCAAGUCGAGCGGCAAGGGCCUUCGGGCCCCUAGAGCGGCGGACGGGUGAGUAACACGUGGACAAUCUGCCCCCCGGCCCGGGAUAGCCCAGGGAAACCUGGAUUAAUACCGGAUGAGACGGGACCCGCGAUGGCGGGAUCCGGGAAAGGCGCUGCGGCGCCGCCGGGGGAUGAGUCUGCGUCCCAUUAGCUAGACGGCGGGGUAACGGCCCACCGUGGCGACGAUGGGUAGCCGGCCUGAGAGGGUGGACGGCCACAUUGGAACUGAGACACGGUCCAGACUCCUACGGGAGGCAGCAGCUAAGAAUCUUCCGCAAUGGGCGAAAGCCUGACGGAGCGACGCCCGCGUGAACGAAGAAGGCCGUGAGGUUGUAAAGUUCUUUUCGGGAGGGGGAACAACCGUGGCAGGGAAUGGCCGCGGGAUGACGUGAAUCCCGGAAUAAGCCCCGGCUAACUACGUGCCAGCCGCUGC